GAGGGGGACCUUCGGGCCUCUCGCGUCACAGAUAUGCCUAGGUGGGAUUAGCUAGUUGGUGAGGUAAGGGCUCACCAAGGUCGACGAUCCCUAGCUGGUCUGAGAGGAUGAUCAGCCACACUGGAACUGAGACACGGUCCAGACUCCUACGGGAGGCAGCAGUGGGGAAUAUUGCACAAUGGGCGCAAGCCUGAUGCAGCCAUGCCGCGUGUGUGAAGAAGGCCUUCGGGUUGUAAAGCACUUUCAGUCGUGAGGAAGGUAGUGUAGUUAAUAGCUGCAUUAUUUGACGUUAGCGACAGAAGAAGCACCGGCUAACUCCGUGCCAGCAGCCGCGGUAAUACGGAGGGUGCGAGCGUUAAUCGGAAUUACUGGGCGUAAAGCGCAUGCAGGUGGUUUGUUAAGUCAGAUGUGAAAGCCCGGGGCUCAACCUCGGAAUUGCAUUUGAAACUGGCAGACUAGAGUACUGUAGAGGGGGGUAGAAUUUCAGGUGUAGCGGUGAAAUGCGUAGAGAUCUGAAGGAAUACCGGUGGCGAAGGCGGCCCCCUGGACAGAUACUGACACUCAGAUGCGAAAGCGUGGGGAGCAAACAGGAUUAGAUACCCUGGUAGUCCACGCCGUAAACGAUGUCUACUUGGAGGUUGUGGCCUUGAGCCGUGGCUUUCGGAGCUAACGCGUUAAGUAGACCGCCUGGGGAGUACGGUCGCAAGAUUAAAACUCAAAUGAAUUGACGGGGGCCCGCACAAGCGGUGGAGCAUGUGGUUUAAUUCGAUGCAACGCGAAGAACCUUACCUACUCUUGACAUCCAGAGAACUUUCCAUAGAUGGAUUGGUGCCUUCGGGAACUCUGAGACAGGUGCUGCAUGGCUGUCGUCAACUCGUGUUGUGAAAUGUUGGGUUAAUUCCCGCAACGAGCCCAACCCUUAUCCUUGUUUG
Molecule: ribosomal RNA, 932 nt
Filed under: Vibrio sp.
Lineage: Bacteria; Pseudomonadati; Pseudomonadota; Gammaproteobacteria; Vibrionales; Vibrionaceae
Description: bacterial SSU rRNA
Rfam family: Bacterial small subunit ribosomal RNA
Source: RNAcentral